AGAAUCAGUUUUAUGUUGUCAAAUCAAUAAAAUAUUUAAAUUACAUUUAAAUGUAUUUGACAAAAUCACAAUUUGGAAUUGUUUCCUUUUUUGAACAGUGAAAUGUAUACAUUUAAAGAGAUGUACAACUUUUACAUUUCUGAAAGUUACUGACUUUUAUUUACAGCUGCCAACAUAGAUGAGGACUUGCUCCACACCCUCAGUAGGGACGACUUAAGGGACCUGCUUCCAGGGCCUGACAGUUGUGGGCUUAUGUUCACAAAGAGGAUGAAACUAAAGAAAAGGCGUCUCAUGGACAUCUCACCAUGUGACCAGGGAGAAGAUUAUGAUGAAGAUUCAAGUGGUGGAUCAAACAUGCUUUUGCCACCAAGGAGCAGUUCUGGUGACAAAAGUUUGGAAAACAACAUAGCCCUGUUCAGGGCACUACCAACUCUCUUCCCAUUACCAGCUGCACCACCCAAGAAGAUGGGACAUGCCAGUGAAGCACUGAUUCAUGUCCUUCAGAAGAUCCAGCGUCAGCCCUGUUCUGCUCUUUGAAGGGUCCCGCUGUUUUAUUGCAGUUGUAAUCACUCCCAUCACCACAUUUGCCAAAGAUGAACUUGGAGAAGGUUUGCUGUAUCUUAUGGCAUACUACUACACCCUGCAUCUCAC
This is a long non-coding RNA of Oreochromis aureus, 651 nucleotides long. The record is from Ensembl. Lineage: Eukaryota; Metazoa; Chordata; Actinopteri; Cichliformes; Cichlidae.